Non-coding RNA from Rattus norvegicus (Norway rat), 2509 nucleotides. Lineage: Eukaryota; Metazoa; Chordata; Mammalia; Rodentia; Muridae. The record is from RefSeq and is a predicted model, not a curated record.
UGGUUAGAGCACUGACUGCUCUUCCAGAGGUCCUGAGUUCAAUUCCCAGCAACAACAUAAUGGCUCACAACCAUCUGUAAUGAGAUCUGGUGGCCUCUUCUGGUGUCUGAAGACAGCUGCAGUGUAUGUAUGUAUGUAUGUAUGUAUGUAUGUAUGUAUGUAUGUAUGUGUAUAUGUAUAUGUAUAUGUAUAUAAUAAUAUUUCAAAAAAAGCACCUGGGGUAUGGGAGGCCUGGGUACUUAGGGCAGGCCUUUCUGGAGAGGGGUUAUACUUGAGCUAGAUCCAGAUGAGAGGUGCCCGACAUCCCACAUCCGCACCCCUAUAUACCACAAAGGUUACAGCUUGUGCCUUUGGUGAAGUCACGGGGUUGUUCUCCUGAACAAAAGUCAAGCUGGAGACCCUGGAGGGCCCAAGAUGAGCAGCCAGGGGCCCCGGGACAAAGAGGCAGUGGGAUCCCAGAACUGAGCAUGUAGCCGUCAGCCAGCCUGGGAGGGACUUUUUCCUUCUGUGACCUACUGUUUUGCCCAGGUCCCCGUUAGAAAUUCGGGCAUAAGACCCAAGCUUCAAAACAGAGUGCCAGUCACUAGAGACUGAUAAGAGCCUCCGAAGAACCGGGGAAUUUAAAACAGUAUGGUCUCGGUUGUACUCUGUUGACCAAGUGGGUCAGAAAUGUGGGCUAGCCCUGAGCUCUGUGUUCAAGGAAGACAUUUUGGGGCCACAUAUUCCUGGCAUGCUUUCUGAUUUGGGGCCAGAGGGUUUGGCAGGGACCCUGAGUAGCCCCUUCCAUAUACCUGUACAGGGCUCUCAUCCCUGGUCUGAGUGAUCCUGGCCCGGGGGCGGGGGCCCCACAGGCUCUUUUCUAAAGCAGGAUCGGUUCUCUGGCCAUUGAAACGUCCUUUGUCCCAUUGGGAGAGACUGGGACACGGGACUCGAAUAAAUGCAAUUUUGAAAGUCAUUUUUCUUAGCUUAGGAGCACAGAAAACAAUUCCUAUGUUGGAAUUAUUCUAAUGAGUCCGGCCUCACUUCAAAGGGUUUAAUGUAAUAAAAGGAAGAGACAGGGCUCCAAUGGGGCCUAAUUAGAUUUUCUUUCCACACUCAUCCUGCAUUUGUUUUCUGAAGAGUGGCCAGGCCCGGGAGAUCUGUGAGGGUCCAGCGUGCAGAGAGCUAAGAGCCAGGCUUGGCUAGAGAAGAACCAUCAGUCUCCCUGAGCCUGACAACUGAGAUCCGCUCCCAGCAGGACUGGGCCGCCACCUCUCGAGUCAACAGGGUUUGGGACCACAUGGGAGGGGUCUUGAGAGGACAGAGGGCUCCCUGGGUCAGCGAGUGGGAUGUGUGGGGUGGGUCUGGAGUCGAGCUGCCUGCCUUUGGCCCUCUUCUGUGCCAGCGGUGUGAUCAUGAGGACCUGAGCUUGCCUUUCCGCGGCUCCGUUUCCCCAUCCGUGAAACGCGCGUGUGAGAGGACCACCCUCUUAAAAUCAAGGUGCAAAAGCCACAGCACCUAGCACUUAAGCAUGUCAGAUUUAGAGGCCGGAGGCAGUGUGAGAACCCAGCACUGUAGCCUCAUCCUCCUAAGAAAUUCCUUGACCAAAGGAUGCUGCUUUAGGCAAACCUCACUUUGGGGGUUCCAAGUUGAGGUGGCUGAAAAGAGGGAGGUGUUCAGCGGGAAGAUAUUUUUUGGAUCUCUUAAGCAGUUGAUGUCUGUCACUGUCUUUACUCUAGGUGCACUUGGUCAAUAGACAAUUAGAUUCCCAAGUUGAAAAGUUCUUUCUCUAAGCAGGAAAUCUAAGUUCUCAGUGGCGAACCAGACUCAGGUCAGAUCGCCCCCCAGCAGCAGGGCUUCACAUUCCCAGUGGUGUGUCCCUGCAUGGCGUGCCUUGCCCUGCCCUUCUUGCUGUUUCCUUAUCCGUCAUUCAGCCUUUAUCCUUUCCUUUCCCUCUGGUUUAAAAAAUUACACUUAUUUCUUUAUUUUCUAGGAGUGUGGCCAUGUACAUCACACUGCGCAUGUGCAAGUGGGACAGUGCGCAUGCGCAGAUGGGAAAGGACUGCUGGGGUAAGGCAGCCCUCUUCUUUAUAUCGUGUCAUUUCCUGGGAUGUUGCUGUGAUCUGCAGGUUCCAUUGCAAGCCUUGACACAGGCCAGUGUCUGUUGAAAUAGGAACAAGCCUUCCCAGAUCUGUUUCAUCUUGUCUCAUCUGCUGCAAUGGAUGGAACCAUUGGCUCUGAAACUGUGAGCCCAGACAAGCCCUUUCUCCAUCGAGUUGAUUCUGUCAUUAUUUUAUCCCAAAGACAAGAAAAGGAUCCAGUACACCGUAGGACAUCCCUUAACUCUGUGAAUUUCAGUUUCUCCUGCUGGGAUGAGAAUGUUGCAGAGAUUCAGCAGUAUGUGUAAGGUGCUGCACACCCCAUCAGGCUCACUAGCAAGUGUUCCUUUAGCUCAAGUGACCAUCAGUGUUACAUGUUACUUGGUUGGCUGUCUUUAAAAAAUGUUAUAAAUAAAAAAUGUUAUGUAGCA